This 462-nucleotide ribosomal RNA is filed under the name uncultured bacterium. Its description in RNAcentral is "partial 16S ribosomal RNA". It matches the Rfam family "Bacterial small subunit ribosomal RNA", at positions 28 to 507 of the family's 1533-position model. The record is from RNAcentral.
GACGAACGCUGGCGGCGUGCUUAACACAUGCAAGUCGAGCGGAAAGGCCCUUCGGGGUCCUCGAGCGGCGAACGGGUGAGUAACACGGGAGUAACCUGCCCCAGACUUUGGGAUAACCCUCGGAAACGGGGACUAAUACCGGAUACGACACAGCUUCGCAUGGGGGCUGGGUGGAAAGUUGUUCGGCUUGGGAUGGGCUCGCUGCUUAUCAGCUUGUUGGUGGGGUGAUGGCCGACCAAGGCGACGACGGGUAGGCGGCCUGAGAGGGCGACCGCGCACCCUGGGCCUGAGACACGGCCCAGACUCCUACGGGCGGCAGCAGGGGGGAAUAUUGCACAAUGGGCGGACGCCUGAUGCAGCGACGCCGCGUGAGUGAUGACGGCCUUCGGGUUGUAAACCUCUUUCAGCAGGGACGAAGCGUAAGUGACGGUACCUGCAGAAGAAGCGCCGGCCAACUACGUG